CCGCUUCAAUUUGUUGAGGCUUAUAAAGUGAAUGUGUGCAUCAAUCGCUCCUGCUGUGACGAUUUUGCCUUCGGCAGCAAUAACUUCCGUAGCAGCACCAACAACCAUAUUGUCCGUCACACCAUCCAUAACGUCAGGGUUUCCUGCCUUGCCGAUUCCGACAAUCCUUCCAUCUUUCACACCGAUGUCUGCUUUUACGAUGCCACUAUAAUCAAUGAUUAAAGCGUUCGUAAAAACUAAAUCCAAUACGCCAUCUUCUCUCGUUCUCGUACUAUUCUGUCCCAUGCCAUCGCGA
Molecule: small RNA, 295 nt
Filed under: Geomicrobium sp. JCM 19038
Lineage: Bacteria; Bacillati; Bacillota; Bacilli; Caryophanales
Description: 5' ureB small RNA
Rfam family: 5' ureB small RNA
Source: Rfam by way of RNAcentral